AAUAGAUACCCGGGUAGUCCACGCCGUAAACGAUGAGUGCUAAGUGUUGGGGGGUUUCCGCCCCUCAGUGCUGCAGCUAACGCAUUAAGCGCUCCGCCUGGGGAGUACGGUCGCAAGACUGAAACUCAAAGGAAUUGACGGGGGCCCGCACAAGCGGUGGAGCAUGUGGUUUAAUUCGAAGCAACGCGAAGAACCUUACCAGGUCUUGACAUCCCGGUGACCACUAUGGAGACAUAGUUUCCCCUUCGGGGGCAACGGUGACAGGUGGUGCAUGGUUGUCGUCAGCUCGUGUCGUGAGAUGUUGGGUUAAGUCCCGCAACGAGCGCAACCCUUAUUCUUAGUUGCCAUCAUUCAGUUGGGCACUCUAAGGAGACUGCCGGUGAUAAACCGGAGGAAGGUGGGGAUGACGUCAAAUCAUCAUGCCCCUUAUGACCUGGGCUACACACGUGCUACAAUGGACGGUACAAACGGUUGCAACCCGCAGGGGGGAGCUAAUCCGAUAAAACCGUUCUCAGUUCGGAUUGUAGGCUGCAACUCGCCUACAUGGAACG
Molecule: ribosomal RNA, 551 nt
Filed under: uncultured bacterium
Lineage: Bacteria
Description: bacterial SSU rRNA
Rfam family: Bacterial small subunit ribosomal RNA
Source: RNAcentral